Molecule: long non-coding RNA, 1394 nt
Organism: Hypanus sabinus (Atlantic stingray)
Lineage: Eukaryota; Metazoa; Chordata; Chondrichthyes; Myliobatiformes; Dasyatidae
Exons: 2
Source: RefSeq, a predicted model, not a curated record
UGUCGAUCUCAGAGAUUCUGGUGCCGAGGAUCUCGUCUCCGCUCUCAGUACAAAACCAUCACUGACGGAGCUGAACCUGGGAUUAAACUCUCUGACAGACCGAUCUGUCCCCGCUCUCCGCCGCCUCAUACUGACCCUCCCGAGUCUGGAGUGGAUCCGGCUGGAGGGGAAUCGGUUCAGUGAGACCGGGGGGAAGGAACUGAGACCUCUGCGGGGAGUCAGACCCGGACUGAUGGUGGAUCUGUGAACAUCUGAAUGUGGUGAAUCGGUUCAGUGAGACCGGGAUGAAGGAACUGAGAUCUCUACAGGAACCCAGACCCGGACUGAGAGUGGAUCUGUGAACAUCUGAAUGUGGUGAAUCGGUUCAGUGAGACCGGGAUGAAGGAACUGAGAUCUCUACAGGAACCCAGACCCGGACUGAUGGUGGAUCUGUGAACAUCUGAAUGUGGGGAAUCGGUUCAGUGAGACCGGGAUGAAGGAACUGAGAUCUCUACAGGAACCCAGACCCGGACUGAGAGUGGAUCUGUGAGCAUCUGAAUGUGGGGAAUCGGUUCAGUGAGACCGGGAUGAAGGAACUGAGAUCUCUACAGGAACCCAGACCCGGACUGAUGGUGGAUCUGUAAACAUCUGAAUGUGGGGAAUCGGUUCAGUGAGACCGGGAUGAAGGAACUGAGAUCUCUACAGGAACCCAGACCCGGACUGAUGGUGGAUCUGAAUGUGUGAACAUCCCCGCCCGCGGGAUGGGGACAUUUGGCCGACUCCCCGCCCUCCCCUUUAACUCCCGCCCUUACCUUUAACGGCCGCGCGCCGGGGCUGAUUCCCAACGGUUUUAACGGAACCGGCUCGGGCCUCGCGCUGUGUGCGUCGCUCGCAGCGGUCCCGCAGUGACGUGUUUCCGCCUGUUGUCCGGCGGGGCAGCAUCCGCCGGAAGUGCGUGGAGGAGACUCCCCACGUGACUCCCCGGGGAAUUACCCGGACAGGAAGAGCCCGGGGUCCGGGGCUCAGUCUGGGACACCGGUGUCCCGGGGUGGAGGGGAUGGUCCCGGGAGAGAAUCCUUUUGCCCCCUUUGCUGAGGACGGUGCAUUCGGCAGCCUGGCCGAUAUAAUGAUGUUAAAUGGACAAAUCCCUCGGCAGUGACCCUGGAUCUGCAGCGAUCCCGGACACGGCCCUGAAGUGUGAUUUUAUAAUCAGUUUUAUAAUUUUAUAAUCAGUUCCCCGAUGCAGAGUGACGGUGAGAAACGGGACUGGUUAUUAUUCAACCGGUCACCCCUUGUCGCCGGUCAGUUAAUUGUGUGUGACUGUCAGCAGAUUAUUUAUUACCGCACGUUAGCAGCUCACACAUUGUUUCAUUGAUAUUUCUCAUAAAAAUCAAUAAACCACUGUAUCUUCCUGU